Molecule: ribosomal RNA, 892 nt
Filed under: Triticum aestivum (bread wheat)
Lineage: Eukaryota; Viridiplantae; Streptophyta; Magnoliopsida; Poales; Poaceae
Description: partial small subunit ribosomal RNA
Source: RNAcentral
CGGGCCCUGAACUUUGGAUAAACAUGAAAGCACAUAUUACAACAGAGACCCAAAAGAAAACUGGAACUACUAAACAGUCCCUGAACUUUGCGAAAAGGACCCGGAACAGAGGAAAGGAAACGCGAUCGGGUCCUAUUCUGCUCCUCGACGGAGAACUUCCGGCCGACACCGGGGACGAGACCACUUGGGCCGACGAAAGCUCCAUAGCACCACGCCAUAGACUCCAUGGAAGAACACAGCUGCCUCCCUUUGGGCUUCAUCGCCGGGAGGAAUUUGAAUGACCGCCCUUCGGCCAGAAGAAACAGAGGCGAGUCGGCGAGAGCAGGCCUUCGACCGCCGCAGCAGGCGCCAUCGCUUCGCCAACAAAUCAUCCACUUCUGAUGGUCCACAGCCCGAUCCGCAGCAUCCCAACCUACAAGCUCCAGAGCUGCAAGUGUCGGCCACCUCUUCGCCAUCGCCAGGAUGGCCUCCGAGGCAGGGGACAGCAGCAAGAUCCUCCGCCAGAUCAGGGGCAUCGAGCUUAUUACCAGGGACACCAGAGUGGAUCCAGUCGGCAGCAGCAAGCCCUCCAUCGCCACCACCUUAAGAACCGACUCCAGUAGCCACCGCACGCGACUCGCUCGCGCCGGCGACCCAAUCCCCAUCGGCAUCACGCCAAGCUCCGGCAUAAAGCCAAACUCCACUAAGGAAACAGCACAACUACAACUAGUAUGUACACGGCAGCUGCGGGCACCUCCCCCAUCUUCUCUCCAACCGGCAACGCCGGCGGCGAGCGCCCGGGAAUGGGCUGAGCCCCAACUCGCACCUCGAGUCGCCUCCCUUUUCUCCUCUCUCGAACAGCUGCGGGCUAUUGCAGUUUCUUCCGGGUUUUGCACUCUCAAGUGCCCGAUUU